RNAcentral lists this ribosomal RNA (402 nucleotides) under uncultured bacterium. RNAcentral's name for it is "bacterial SSU rRNA". It matches the Rfam family "Bacterial small subunit ribosomal RNA", at positions 355 to 774 of the family's 1533-position model. The record is from RNAcentral.
UGGGGAAUCUUGCACAAUGGGGGAAACCCUGAUGCAGCGACGCCGCGUGAACGAUGAAGCCCUUCGGGGUGUAAAGUCCUUUCGACAGGAACGAUAAUGACGGUACCUGGAGAAGAAGCUGCGGCUAACUACGUGCCAGCAGCCGCGGUAAUACGUAGGCAGCGAGCGUUGUUCGGAGUUACUGGGCGUAAAGAGUGCGUAGGCGGCGAGCCAAGUUUGGUGUGAAAUCUCCCGGCUUAACCGGGAGGGUGCGCCGAAAACUGGUUGGCUGGAGUAUGGGAGAGGAAAGCGGAAUUCCUGGUGUAGCGGUGAAAUGCGUAGAUAUCAGGAGGAACACCUGCGGUGUAGACAGCUUUCUGGACCAAAACUGACGCUGAGGCACGAAAGCGUGGGUAGCAAACA